AAUACUGAAUAAUUAAAACAAUUUCAAUACAUUUUUGACAGUUUAUUCUUUUAAUAUUUUUAUCCUAGAAUAAAAUCCACAUGAUGCUCCACAAUUAUGUAGUAAAAAUGCUAUUUACCUUGAGCAGAAAUAUAGAGAAAAUUAGAAUUUCAAAAAAAAAGAGAGAAGCAUUGCACUAAAUUUAGCUGCAUGGUCUCAUUUGUUUAUUUAUUUAUUUGGUGGCUGUUUGUGAAGGAAUUAAGCUUUUUCUGAAAGCGCUGAACUUUGUGCUGAUUUCUGAUCUUUAGAAAUACGAAGUUCAGAAGUUCAAAUAUAGCAAUGAAUUUUUACAUUUUUUAUCUCUCUCAGAUCUGUCCUAAUCAGCAUUGAUCUAAUGGUGUUGCAUAGCAGCAUGUUCUCUGAAAUGUGCAAGCAGCUGCAAAGAAGUUAAUAGCCUACAGAUUCCUGUUUCAAAUGCUGGAAAUAGUAUUAAGUAAUAGUAAUUUUCCAGAUACUGUAGGCUCCAGUGUAUCUGGGUUUUUUUGGGCAUCUUCCAAAAUUUCGUAUGUAGUAUUUGGAUGGUCAGCAAAACCUCUACUUUGGACUUCCAGAGAGUGGACUCCAAGCCAUUCUCCAUCGUUUAUCAUCCGUCCUGGCUAACUGGGGAGGUCCCAGAUGAGUGGAGGUUGGACAAGGUGAUAUCCACAAGAAGAGGCAGAAGCAGGAUCUGUGGAACUACAGGCCUCUCAGCCUGACCUCAGUGUCUGAUGGGAGAUGAAAGAAGAUGCAGAUCUUGAAGAUGAGGAGAAAGUUAUGGUGGAACAUUUAAAAAAUGUUUAUUUGAUACCGAGCAUUCCUAUCUCAGAGAAUAAAGAAGAACAAUUACCUUGACAGAUUUUGGGGAGCAGCUUUUUUCUGAAUUCAACAUGAUUAAUUUAAUGGCUUACUUAUUAAUCAUGGUGUAUUCUGGACAGGACUAGAAAGCUCAGGAAUAUGUAUUUCCUGUAGGAGAUAAUAGGAGUUUUAAAGUAAAGAGUAUUCCCCCGUUAUUGUCUAGUCACCCCAUCCAGGCAGCAAUUGUUCAUGCAUGCAUAAGGCGAGCAACAAUAUAUGACAAUGUCAAUGUCACAAAACAAGGAGAGUGUAUCUCAAUACUCUGCAGAAUAAACCUGAGUGACAAAUCAAGAAUUGUUUUAAAAGUAUAAAACUCACUCUGAAAAUAAUGCAAAUUUAGACACAUGCUAAGCAAACACUCCUGGCUUCCAUCCACCACUUUGGAGUUGUACUCUCUGUCCGCAGAGACUGUCCCCAGCUAGUGUCACUCAAGGAACUUUUCUCUCCUUGUUUAUUAGAUCCCCUAAAACACAUGAAAAGGUACAGUUAUAGACCAUAAAUCUGCAGUCCUUUGUGAGUUGGUCCAGAAUGGGUACACUUGGCCAUUAUUCCCAAUCAAAAAUGCAUCAGCCUUAUUACCCUCACAGAUCCUAACUGAACAUCCAGUAUAUGUUAUGGCUUAAAAAACACAUUAUAGAGCAACUAGAAGUUUUGAGAAGCAUCUUUUUAUUUAAAAGAAUUAUUCACAGGCACUGCUCAGAGGAUUAUCUUAGCAGUGAACUGAGAGAAUUAUAAAUAAUAUCUAUUUCUGAUAAAUACAGUAAAAUUUUAUUUUCAAAAUAAUCCAGGUUUGAUAUUAAAAUUUUUCUAAAUAUUAAAUCUUUUUCUUAUACACUUGUAAAAACUAUCAGCGUGACAAUAUUUUUUAUACAGAUGUUGUGGUUAGUAUUUCUUUAUCUGUACAGAAAUAAUCCAUAAUUUUUCAGUUUGUUUCUUGCACUGGAAUUCAAAUGGAACUAUUUUAUCUGCUUGAUGAAGGACCCUCACAAGAUCUUGCUAAGGCUGCAACCUGUGCAGCAGCUAUUCCUGUUCCCAGCACAUUUUCACACAGAUGUUAUUAUGGAUAUAACUCAGACCACUUAAAUAGGAGGAAGGCAUCUUUUCAAACCAUCUAGGGAUGGUGACUCCACCACCAUUAUACAGUUUCUGCAGUAAAGCGAUCCAGGCUCCAACAGACAACAGCCAAAGUGUCUGCGCUGCCCUGAGUCACAUCCGUACUCUAUCUAAAAAUGAGGCAAAGAACUAUAUAACCAGGAUCAUAUUCAACAGGUUUGAUCUUUUCCAGUUACUAGGUCAAACAGAAUGCUAUGUCUUGCCUUGCCAAACUCAGGUUUCAAACUUCAUUAAUGGUGGAGGUUUGCUGCAAUAGCACGUAACUUUUUCUUUUUAGGACAACCUUUUAGAAAAAUAAUAUGUUUUCAGUUCUCCCAAUAAAUAAAUACAUUGACUAAAAUCACUUCCAUAAACCAGUCAUUAAAAAGCCUGAUGAAUAAUUAGCAACGCCUCCAUGAGUGUUCCUUACAGUCGGUAACUGUGAAUGACAUUGUUAUGUACAUUCUGUCCCAAGUUUAAUUCACUAGAGGAUGGAAAUGUGGUUAUAUAAGCAACUUUGGUAAAUUUGUAAUUGCCUGAUAUUCAACUAUUUUAUCCUUUUUUUCCCAUAAUUUGUUGUUUUGAUGUAAAAAAAUCUGAUAACUUUUGAGUAUUUGGUGUCCAUAAAGAAGUAGGGUCAUAUAGUUCUUCAUGGGUCAGGUGACUCUGAUUUGUUUUCCACCUCAGGAAUGCCUUUCAGGCAUCCUUGACAAACUUACUGUUUUACUAAUAUUUGCUGUAAUUUAGAAUGUGAUACUAUUCCACUCAGUUAUACAUGGGUAAAUAAUUAAUCUUCUAGAGUUAACUGUUACACAGACUUAAAGCAGUGUAGGUCCUAUGGGCAAUAAUUUCAGGUUUAGGAUCUGAACACUUCUGUUCCUAAUGUUCCACAUGAAUUCCACAGUAUGUAUGUUCUUCCAUUGUUCUAAGCUACCUUUGUUACCUGGCAUAGUGGAAGCUAUGCAGCUAGUGAGUUAUGUUUUUUACAUAAACUGAUGUAUUUUGCCCCAGGUUUUAUUUUCUUUGAUUUCUCUGAACUUUUAAUUUACACUUGGAAAUCCAUAGCACAUCUGUUUUGACAACCUACAAACACCUAAAUACUUAUCAGUAAAGCCUAUGCCUUCUCAAACCUGAUAGAGAGUCUUAGAGAACCAAGAAUUCAAUAAAUGUAAAAUUCAAACCAACCACUUGCAAGGUUAUAGUUCAAGAAGUGCAGUAGUUGUUUUCACUUGAAUUUUCACUUCUCUGUAAAAUCCAGAAAUUUCAUGUUUAAGGAGUUGUUUGCUAAUGUACAGGAAACUUUAUUGGUAUGUAAAUAUGUAUAUAUUCCAUAUAAUAAACAUGUCUUAAGUGGAUUUUAUUACUUA
Molecule: long non-coding RNA, 3332 nt
Organism: Pipra filicauda (Wire-tailed manakin)
Lineage: Eukaryota; Metazoa; Chordata; Aves; Passeriformes; Pipridae
Exons: 2
Source: RefSeq, a predicted model, not a curated record